Molecule: small RNA, 206 nt
Filed under: Neogale vison (American mink)
Lineage: Eukaryota; Metazoa; Chordata; Mammalia; Carnivora; Mustelidae
Description: Neovison vison (American mink) 7SK RNA (ENSNVIG00000018808.1)
Rfam family: 7SK RNA (bases 69-206)
About the family: 7SK was discovered as an abundant small nuclear RNA in the mid-70s but a possible function has only recently been suggested. Two independent studies have found that 7SK RNA binds the CDK9/cyclin T complex (known as elongation factor P-TEFb).
Source: RNAcentral
GGUUAGGCUGGGGAACAUAUCAUUUUGGGGGUCACCAUUCAACCUACCAUUAUUGGAUUAAUAACUAUUAUACACAGUGAUACCCCCUACUAGAGCCUUCAGACAAACUCUCAACGUCCACUUGCUGGAGAGUAUAAGGUAGUCAAGCUUCUGAGACUCCAGAAACAUCCAAAGGAGGCGCUGCCUGUGGUAGUCUGCCUUUCUUU